AUUGAACGCUGGCGGCAGGCCUAACACAUGCAAGUCGAACGAGUGGUGGACGGGUGAGUAAUGUCUGGGAAACUGCCCGAUGGAGGGGGUUAACUACUGGAAACGGAAGCUAAUACCGCAUACCAUCGGAUGUGCCGAGGUGGGAUUAGCUCGUAGGUGGGGUAACGGCUCACCUAGGCGACGAUCCCUAGCUGGUCUGAGAGGAUGACCAGCCACACGGGAACGGAGACACGGUCCAGACUCCUACGGGAGGCAGCAGUGGGUAAUAUUGCACAAUGGGCGCAAGCCUGAUGCAGCCAUGCCGCGUGUAUGAAGAAGGCCUUCGGGUUGUAAAGGACUUUCAGCGAGGAGGCGUUACUCGCAGAAGAAGCACCGGCUAACUCCGUGCCAGCAGCCGCGGUAAUUC
RNAcentral lists this ribosomal RNA (406 nucleotides) under uncultured bacterium. Its description in RNAcentral is "partial 16S ribosomal RNA". It matches the Rfam family "Bacterial small subunit ribosomal RNA", at positions 30 to 526 of the family's 1533-position model. The record is from RNAcentral.